RNAcentral lists this ribosomal RNA (1458 nucleotides) under metagenome. Its description in RNAcentral is "bacterial SSU rRNA". It matches the Rfam family "Bacterial small subunit ribosomal RNA". The record is from RNAcentral.
AGAGUUUGAUCCUGGCUCAGAACGAACGCUGGCGGCAUGGAUUAGGCAUGCAAGUCGAACGGAACUUCAAGUAGCAAUAUGAGAAGUUUAGUGGCGCAAGGGUGAGGAACACGUGAGUAACCUGCCCUUAAGCUUGGGAUAACCCGCCGAAAGGCGGGCUAAUACUGGAUGUGGAUAUUCCUUCGCAUGUUGGAAUGUCCAAAGAUUUAUCGCUUAAGGAGGGGCUCGCGUCCCAUCAGCUAGUUGGUAGGGUAACGGCCUACCAAGGCAACGACGGGUAGCUGGUCUGAGAGGAUGGUCAGCCACACUGGGACUGAGACACUGCCCAGACUCCUACGGGAGGCUGCAGUCGAGAAUCUUCCGCAAUGGGCGCAAGCCUGACGGAGCGAUGCCGCGUGAGGGAUGAAGGUCUUCGGAUUGUAAACCUCUGUCACCGUGGAGGAACAGAAUGACUGUACACGGAGAGGAAGUCACGGCUAACUACGUGCCAGCAGCCGCGGUAAUACGUAGGUGACUAGCGUUGUUCGGAUUUAUUGGGCGUAAAGGGUCCGCAGGGGGCCGGCUAAGUCUGAUGUGAAAUCCCGAAGCUUAACUUCGGAACUGCAUUGGAAACUGGCUGGCUAGAGCAUCGGAGAGGAGAGUGGAAUUCCAGGUGUAGCGGUGGAAUGCGUAGAUAUCUGGAAGAACACCAAAGGCGAAGGCAGCUCUCUGGACGAUCGCUGACCCUCAGGGACGAAAGCAUGGGGAGCAAACAGGAUUAGAUACCCUGGUAGUCCAUGCUGUAAACUUUGUGAACUUGACGUGGGAAUUUCCCGUGUCGUAGCUAACGCGAUAAGUUCACCGCCUGGGGACUACGGCCGCAAGGCUAAACCUCAAAGGAAUUGACGGGGGCCCGCACAAGCGGUGGAGCAUGUGGCUCAAUUCGAUGCAACGCGAAGAACCUUACCUGGGUUUGACAUGCAGGGAUUAUUCCGGUGAAAGCCGGUUGAUUGCCGCAAGGUGUAACCUGCACAGGUGCUGCAUGGCUGUCGUCAGCUCGUGCCGUGAGGUGUUCGGUUAAGUCCGGCAACGAGCGCAACCCGUAUGAUUAGUUGCAAACAGGUAAUGCUGUGUACUCUAAUCAGACUGCCUGUGUUAAGCAGGAGGAAGGCGCGGAUGACGUCAAGUCCGUAUGGCCUUUAUAUCCAGGGCUGCACACGUGCUACAAUGGCUGGUACAAUGGGAAGCAAGACCGCGAGGUGGAGCAAAUCCUCAAAACCGGCCCCAGUUCAGAUUGCAGUCUGCAACUCGACUGCAUGAAGUCGGAAUCGCUAGUAAAGGCGUAUCAGCCACGACGCCUUGAAUACGUUCCCGGGCCUUGUACACACCGCCCGUCACAUCAUGGAAGCUGAUUGCACCCGAAGUAGCUGAACCUAACUCGCAAGAGGAGGAGGCUCCUAAGGUGUGGUCAGUGACUGG